Belonocnema kinseyi is the source of this 2477-nucleotide long non-coding RNA. RefSeq lists it as uncharacterized. The transcript has 5 exons. The record is from RefSeq and is a predicted model, not a curated record. Lineage: Eukaryota; Metazoa; Arthropoda; Insecta; Hymenoptera; Cynipidae.
GAAAAAGGAAUAGAACUGUGAAGUCCUCAAGCCUAGUUUUGCACGCAAAAGUGAAUUUGAAUGUUUAAACAAUAGAAAUUAUCCUGCACUCAAAAACCAUGAAGAAUGCAGGCUACUUAAUUUCGGUAUUUAUAAUUUACCCGGAUUUAUUUUUCUGUGUCAAAAGUGAAUCUGUUCCAAUAACCAUAUAUCAAGGUUUUACACAAUCUUGUGCAUUUUCAAAAUUUCCGGUCAGGUUAACCACUCUAGAAGAUACCAAAAAAAAGACAAUUGUAUCGUUAGCACUCUACGAUUCCAACUCAAAAUGGUGCUUGAGAAGCUCUCAGAAUAUCAAACUUCCUGAUAUUUUAAACGCAGCGGAAUUUGAUUUCAUAGUUUUGAAAUUUACAUCUUUUGAUAUCUCAAGUAGAGAAUUUUUACAAGUAAUCAUCAAAGUUUAUUUUGUAUUGCUCGGAUUUGUCAGAAGGAACUAACAAGCCCAAAAAAUAAGCUCUGCGUUGUUAUGGCUCGAUCAUAUUCUUAAAACACACUAUUCAGUAAAUCCAAUUUUUUUAACAUUAGACAAAAUUUCGGAAGGUGAUAAAACUGCAGGAGAAAAGCUUGUUUCGUCAGUUCACUGUGCACAGCAGAGCAAAAUAAAAAAAAAUGCAAUACAGAAAAAAUUCCGGAGCAGUAAAAAUAUUAUUUACUAUAUCAAAUAAUAAAAAUAGUAGCAUGAAAAACAUGCCACUUACUCAAGUAAAUACUGGGGAAAAUUCUAAUAAAGUGAAAAAUUCUAUGACAAAGAAUCAAGGCCAAUAAAUUGUAGGCAAUUUAGAUUCAAAUUCUGGUUACAGCAAUGGUGAUAAACAAAAAGUUGCACCAUUCUACACCGAAAAAAAAGAAUUAUCCAGUGUAAAAAAUACAGAGGAAAAGACACUUAGCAGUCGAAGUUUCUAAAAAUGGUUAAGGAACCGGUAUCAAGUGAUGGCAAGACAAGAGGAAACAAAAGAACAAACGAAAAUUUAUUGCUGAUCUAGAAGUAUCAGUUCCACCUACUGAUUUGGAAUGGGGGGGGGGGGGCAUUGCCCUCUAGCAUGCAAAAAAAUGUUGCUUUGAAUUUUUGGACCACCGUAAUUUAUAUGUAACAUGUGUGUAUUAAAUUAAUAUUAUUUUAAUUAGAAGAAUAAACGAACAAAACUGUACUUAUUACCAGCCUACAGCAGAAAAUAAAACACUUGGCAGAACAUCUGAAAAACGAGAGGAAAGAUUUGAAGUCAAAAGAUGGACUUAUUCAAGAACUUAAAAAUCUUUGUCCUCUAUAGCAACUGGAGUUACGAGUAAUGGUCUAACAAAUAACGGUAAACAUUCCGUAAUCAUAGAUGACUCAAAGACCAAUUGGAAAGUGAACAUAGGCAGAGGAGUCUCUGGUACAUGAAAUCGGGCUGAAUGACAUCAAAAACUGUAAAAAACUCAACACAUCGAAAAUUGUGAGUGGUUUAGCCAUUCCCAUUUUUGACGACGUUGAGUUAAAAAGAAGCCAGUAUCUGAGGUGUUUGCAGACACGCAAUAACCUCGGCGAGAGCAAUGAAUAUGGAAAUGGGAAGCAAUAUUUCAAUAAAAAAUUUAAAUAUAUUAAAGAGCUGUUGCGGAAAGAAGAACCAAUUCCAUUUCCUGAGGUGCAAUUAUCUUUUCUGAAUUAGGCAAGAGUGCGGAAAUUCGGCUAAUUUAAGAAAUAAACUCACUAUAAAUUAAAAACUUGUCUGACAUACCUUCCCCGAAGAAGAGGAGAAUAACAAUUAAUUAAUACUCCGUGGUCCAGGUGGGACUUUGAAGUCAAUGAGGUUUUUCUCAAUGUUAUUUUUAUUAUGAAAAUCUGCAAAAAUUCACAGUUAAACUGAAACCCCGUUUCAGUUUGCGCCCGGAUAAGUUCACUCUCGUGUAAGUUCACGCGUUGUUUUUCGUUUAGGUUUACUUUCACCUCCCCAGUAAGUUCUGAAUGCUCCGCCCGUUCAAGCUUCCCAUGUUAUGUCAACCAAUCGCAACAGUAUAUGGAGGAGUAAACUUAAACGGGGCUUCAGUGUUUUCUUCUCAGUCCAUACAAUGGAUUCAAAGAAAGUAUUUUGUUAUUGGUAGGUUUAUAUAUAUUUUUUUUAAAUUAAUUAUUUGAAGAAAUGUUCUGAAAAAAUGGAAAAUUACUAAAAAAAUUCAUAUUUUAUUCAAAAAUUAAUUUCAUCAAUAAACACUUCGCGGCUGAUAAGAGUAUAAUUAUUUUUGUGACUGAAAAUGUACGUAUUUCAGAGAGCUUCAGGCAAGCAAAAUUACUAAUACAAACAAGUUUUUUUUCAGUUUAAAAAUUAAACAUUUUAUUGCAACUUUUUGUCAUACUUUUGUCACAUACGGUCUAUUGUUGAAUAAAAAAUUGUAAUUUUUGGUUUUUCGAUUAUUUUGUAUGCUGUCAAAAUUUGAAUUUUUAAUUUUUCAAAAAAUUUCAAAAA